This 547-nucleotide ribosomal RNA is filed under the name uncultured bacterium. RNAcentral describes it as "bacterial SSU rRNA". It matches the Rfam family "Bacterial small subunit ribosomal RNA", at positions 355 to 896 of the family's 1533-position model. The record is from RNAcentral.
UGGGGAAUAUUGCGCAAUGGGGGGAACCCUGACGCAGCCAUGCCGCGUGAAUGAAGAAGGCCUUAGGGUUGUAAAGUUCUUUCGGUAUUGAGGAAGGUUGAUGUGUUAAUAGCACAUCAAAUUGACGUUAAAUACAGAAGAAGCACCGGCUAACUCCGUGCCAGCAGCCGCGGUAAUACGGAGGGUGCGAGCGUUAAUCGGAAUAACUGGGCGUAAAGGGCACGCAGGCGGUUAUUUAAGUGAGGUGUGAAAGCCCCGGGCUUAACCUGGGAAUUGCAUUUCAGACUGGGUAACUAGAGUACUUUAGGGAGGGGUAGAAUUCCACGUGUAGCGGUGAAAUGCGUAGAGAUGUGGAGGAAUACCGAAGGCGAAGGCAGCCCCUUGGGAAUGUACUGACGCUCAUGUGCGAAAGCGUGGGGAGCAAACAGGAUUAGAUACCCUGGUAGUCUACGCUGUAAACGCUGUCGAUUUGGGGGUUGGGGUUUAACUCUGGCGCCCGUAGCUAACGUGAUAAAUCGACCGCCUGGGGAGUACGGCCGCAAGGUUA